CCCGAUGAUAAGAGGCGAGAUCAUCUCCCAAGUUCUGGCCGGCCUCGGCCUCGACUACAACCCUGUCGUGUCAGCCCUUGCUGCGCGGGUUGAACCCGUGUAUGUCCAUGAGCUAUACACGCAGCUUCUCAGCUUCGACG
This is a non-coding RNA of Triticum aestivum (bread wheat), 140 nucleotides long. The record is from Rfam. NCBI's taxonomy places the organism in Eukaryota, Viridiplantae, Streptophyta, Magnoliopsida, Poales, Poaceae.